This 669-nucleotide ribosomal RNA is filed under the name Paracoccaceae bacterium. RNAcentral describes it as "bacterial SSU rRNA". It matches the Rfam family "Bacterial small subunit ribosomal RNA", at positions 28 to 741 of the family's 1533-position model. Lineage: Bacteria; Pseudomonadati; Pseudomonadota; Alphaproteobacteria; Rhodobacterales; Paracoccaceae. The record is from RNAcentral.
AACGAACGCUGGCGGCACGCCUAACACAUGCAAGUCGAGCGCUUCACUUCGGUGAGGAGCGGCGGACGGGUUAGUAACGCGUGGGAACAUACCCUUUUCUAAGGAAUAGCCACUGGAAACGGUGAGUAAUACCUUAUACGCCCUUCGGGGGAAAGAUUUAUCGGUGAAGGAUUGGCCCGCGUUAGAUUAGUUUGUUGGUGGGGUAAUGGCCUACCAAGACUACGAUCUAUAGCUGGUUUGAGAGGAUGAUCAGCAACACUGGGACUGAGACACGGCCCAGACUCCUACGGGAGGCAGCAGUGGGGAAUCUUAGACAAUGGGCGCAAGCCUGAUCUAGCGAUGCCGCGUGAGUGAUGAAGGCCUUAGGGUCGUAAAGCUCUUUCGCCAGGGAUGAUAAUGACAGUACCUGGUAAAGAAACCCCGGCUAACUCCGUGCCAGCAGCCGCGGUAAUACGGAGGGGGUUAGCGUUGUUCGGAAUUACUGGGCGUAAAGCGUACGUAGGCGGAUCAGAAAGUAAGGGGUGAAAUCCCAGGGCUCAACCCUGGAACUGCCUCUUAAACUCCUGGUCUUGAGUUCGAGAGAGGUGAGUGGAAUUCCAAGUGUAGAGGUGAAAUUCGUAGAUAUUUGGAGGAACACCAGUGGCGAAGGCGGCUCACUGGCUCGAUACU